RNAcentral lists this ribosomal RNA (253 nucleotides) under uncultured bacterium. Its description in RNAcentral is "partial 16S ribosomal RNA". It matches the Rfam family "Bacterial small subunit ribosomal RNA", at positions 524 to 776 of the family's 1533-position model. The record is from RNAcentral.
UACGUAGGGGGCAAGCGUUGUCCGGAUUCAUUGGGCGUAAAGAGCGUGUAGGCGGCCAGGUAGGUCGGUUGUGAAAACUGGAGGCUCAACCUUCAGAGGUCGACCGAAACCAUCUGGCUAGAGUCCGGGAGAGGAGAGUGGAAUUCCUGGUGUAGCGGUGAAAUGCGCAGAUAUCAGGAAGAACACCCGUGGCGAAGGCGGCCGGCUGGGCCGAUCCUGACGCUGAGGUGCGAAGGCGUGGGGAGCGAACGGG